GGUGGCUUCGUAUAGUGGUGAGUACAACACGUUGUGGUUAGUUACAAAGACAAUACCAUACUUGUACCGUGUAAACCUGGGUUCGAUUCCCAGAGCCGCCA
Molecule: non-coding RNA, 101 nt
Organism: Annulohypoxylon bovei var. microspora
Lineage: Eukaryota; Fungi; Ascomycota; Sordariomycetes; Xylariales; Hypoxylaceae
Source: the annotation of a GenBank genome assembly